Molecule: ribosomal RNA, 172 nt
Filed under: uncultured bacterium
Lineage: Bacteria
Description: partial 16S ribosomal RNA
Rfam family: Bacterial small subunit ribosomal RNA
Source: RNAcentral
CCUACGGGAGGCAGCAGUGGGGAAUAUUGCACAAUGGGCGGAAGCCUGAUGCAGCGACGCCGCGUGGGGGAUGACGGCCUUCGGGUUGUAAACUCCUUUCGACCGCGAGGAAGCCGCCUGGUUGGAAGGGUGGUGACGGUAGUGGUAGAAGAAGCACCGGCUAACUACGUGC